This 606-nucleotide long non-coding RNA is filed under the name Fukomys damarensis (Damara mole-rat). RNAcentral describes it as "lncRNA (ENSFDAG00000022613.1)". The record is from RNAcentral. Lineage: Eukaryota; Metazoa; Chordata; Mammalia; Rodentia; Bathyergidae.
GAGCCUACUUUACAGUUUACUUUUUAAGGUUGUAGCAAAGAUUUAUGAUUUAUGACACGUAAAACACUUGAAACAGUGCCUCUCAUUGUGAGGCAGGCUUUCUCAAAUGGCACCAAGGAUGUCCUGCCUUAACCUCCAUGCUAGACUCUGUUUAACUACCAGAAGAAACCACUGGACAUGGUCUUCAGGGAUCACAGGAUGACUUGGCUUGUUCCUUGCUCGAGCAACGUACUGUUCAUGCCAACUACAGGGAACUUGGUGUAAUGCAAUACAGAUACUUGGAAUCACUGAGUCACUUUUUUUUUUCCUCAUUGAUCACGGAGUCACUUGAUGAGAAAAAAGAUAAGAAAAAACUCCCAGAAUAGAUUCCACUGAUGCAAAAACCGUUUCAAGCCACAGAUCAAGGCAGUAAUUGUAGAUGCAGAAAAUUAAAAAUUGAGUAAAGAGUGGCAACAAAAUACAGCCUCUCUGGGACCUGGAGUCAAGACACCUGGAAAACAACAAGUUGAUGAAGAAUAAAAAAACAGAUUUCCAGGAAUCAGAAGGGAGCUGAAAGUAAAAUGAGAAAAUACAGAGAAGCUAGAGAAACUGAACAAAACGUAGAGA